GAUGAACGCUGGCGGCGUGCCUAAUACAUGCAAGUCGAGCGAACAGACGAGGAGCUUGCUCCUCUGACGUUAGCGGCGGACGGGUGAGUAACACGUGGAUAACCUACCUAUAAGACUGGGAUAACUUCGGGAAACCGGAGCUAAUACCGGAUAAUAUAUUGAACCGCAUGGUUCAAUAGUGAAAGACGGUUUUGCUGUCACUUAUAGAUGGAUCCGCGCCGCAUUAGCUAGUUGGUAAGGUAACGGCUUACCAAGGCGACGAUGCGUAGCCGACCUGAGAGGGUGAUUGGCCACACUGGAACUGAGACACGGUCCAGACUCCUACGGGAGGCAGCAGUAGGGAAUCUUCCGCAAUGGGCGAAAGCCUGACGGAGCAACGCCGCGUGAGUGAUGAAGGUCUUCGGAUCGUAAAACUCUGUUAUUAGGGAAGAACAAAUGUGUAAGAAACUAUGCACGUCUUGACGGUACCUAAUCAGAAAGCCACGGCUAACUACGUG
RNAcentral lists this ribosomal RNA (497 nucleotides) under uncultured bacterium. RNAcentral describes it as "partial 16S ribosomal RNA". It matches the Rfam family "Bacterial small subunit ribosomal RNA", at positions 28 to 507 of the family's 1533-position model. The record is from RNAcentral.